GAUGAACGCUGGCGGCGUGCUUAACACAUGCAAGUCGAACGAUGAAGCCCAGCUUGCUGGGUGGAUUAGUGGCGAACGGGUGAGUAACACGUGAGUAACCUGCCCUUAACUCUGGGAUAAGCCUGGGAAACUGGGUUUAAUACCGGAUAGGAGCGUCCACCGCAUGGUGGGUGUUGGAAAGAUUUAUCGGUUUUGGAUGGACUCGCGGCCUAUCAGCUUGUUGGUGAGGUAAUGGCUCACCAAGGCGACGACGGGUAGCCGGCCUGAGAGGGUGACCGGCCACACUGGGACUGAGACACGGCCCAGACUGCUACGGGAGGCAGCAGUGGGGAAUAUUGCACAAUGGGCGCAAGCCUGAUGCAGCGACGCCGCGUGAGGGAUGACGGCCUUCGGGUUGUAAACCUCUUUCAGUAGGGAAGAAGCGAAAGUGACGGUACCUGCAGAAGAAGCACCGGCUAACUACGUG
RNAcentral lists this ribosomal RNA (466 nucleotides) under uncultured bacterium. Its description in RNAcentral is "partial 16S ribosomal RNA". It matches the Rfam family "Bacterial small subunit ribosomal RNA", at positions 28 to 507 of the family's 1533-position model. The record is from RNAcentral.